GUGGGGAAUAUUGGGCAAUGGGCGAAAGCCUGACCCAGCAACGCCGCGUGAGGGAAGAAGGUUUUCGGAUCGUAAACCUCUGUCCUUAGUGAAGAGAAAGAGACGGUAGCUAAGGAGGAAGCCCCGGCUAACUACGUGCCAGCAGCCGCGGUAAUACGUAGGGGGCGAGCGUUGUCCGGAAUGAUUGGGCGUAAAGGGCGCGUAGGCGGCCUGUUAAGUCCGGAGUGAAAUUCCUGCUUUCAAGGUAGGAAGUGCUUUGGAAACUGGCGGGCUGGAGUGCAGGAGAGGUUAGCGGAAUUCCCGGUGUAGCGGUGAAAUGCGUAGAGAUCGGGAGGAACACCAGUGGCGAAGGCGGCUAACUGGACUGUAACUGACGCUGAGGCGCGAAAGUGUGGGGAGCAAACAGGAUUAGAUACCCGAGUAGUCC
RNAcentral lists this ribosomal RNA (427 nucleotides) under uncultured bacterium. RNAcentral describes it as "partial 16S ribosomal RNA". It matches the Rfam family "Bacterial small subunit ribosomal RNA", at positions 354 to 796 of the family's 1533-position model. The record is from RNAcentral.